RNAcentral lists this ribosomal RNA (314 nucleotides) under uncultured bacterium. Its description in RNAcentral is "bacterial SSU rRNA". It matches the Rfam family "Bacterial small subunit ribosomal RNA", at positions 188 to 507 of the family's 1533-position model. The record is from RNAcentral.
GCAUGGAUAUGUUGUAAGGUUACGCCUUGGGAUAGGCUUGCGUCUGAUUAGCUAGUUGGUGUGGUAACGGCACACCAAGGCUACGAUCAGUAACUGGUCUGAGAGGAUGAUCAGUCACACUGGAACUGAGACACGGUCCAGACUCCUACGGGAGGCAGCAGUGAGGAAUAUUGGGCAAUGCUCGAAAGAGUGACCCAGCAACGCCGCGUGGAGGAUGAAGGUAUUCUAUAUCGUAAACUCCUGUGAGAGCAGACGAAAGACAGAUUAUUAAUCUGGAUGACUGUAUGCUCAGAGGAAGCCCGGCUAACUACGUG